Molecule: unclassified non-coding RNA, 304 nt
Filed under: Hevea brasiliensis (rubber tree)
Lineage: Eukaryota; Viridiplantae; Streptophyta; Magnoliopsida; Malpighiales; Euphorbiaceae
Source: RNAcentral
AGAUGGUCUGCUAUUGCUGCCCAGUUACCGGGGAGAACCGAUAAUGAGAUAAAGAACCACUGGCACACCAAACUCAAGAAACGCAAGCAAAAGGACACUGUGAAACCAGACUCCAGUGACCUCUCCCAGCGUAGAAAGAGACAAAAGAAAGAUACAAAACCAAAGAUUGACCCCAUAAGUCCUGGAACUACUCCUCAAAUUAUAGAAAGCAUAAGCUCCUCAUUGUCCCCCAAACCAUCUACAAGUGAUUUCUCAUCAUCGACCACCGCAAAUAACAUAGCUGUUACCAGUAGCUGCAGUGACU